This 318-nucleotide ribosomal RNA is filed under the name uncultured eukaryote. RNAcentral's name for it is "partial 18S ribosomal RNA". It matches the Rfam family "Eukaryotic small subunit ribosomal RNA", at positions 1470 to 1796 of the family's 1831-position model. The record is from RNAcentral.
CCCUUAGAUGUUCUGGGCCGCACGCGUGCUACACUGAGUAAAUCAAUGGGUAAGGGAACACGAAAGUGCAACCUAAUCUUGAAAUUUGCUCGUGAUGGGGAUCGACGGUUGCAAUUUUCCGUCGUGAACGAGGAAUACCUUGUAGGCGCGUGUCAUCAUCACGCGCCGAAUACGUCCCUGCCCUUUGUACACACCGCCCGUCGCUCCUACCGAUUGAAUGUUCCGGUGAGCUCUUCGGACUGCGCGGUCUGCAGUUUCUGCGUUCCGUGCGGAAAGUUGCGCAAACCUUAACAUUUAGAGGAAGGAGAAGUCGUAACA